Triticum aestivum (bread wheat) is the source of this 1690-nucleotide long non-coding RNA. RefSeq lists it as uncharacterized. The record is from RefSeq and is a predicted model, not a curated record. The transcript has 2 exons. Lineage: Eukaryota; Viridiplantae; Streptophyta; Magnoliopsida; Poales; Poaceae.
CUGGUCUAUCCAUAUUGCCAUAUUGGCAUUUUAUCAAACAGCUGGUGUACCUGAUAGGAAGCAAAAGCCCCUAACGGUGGCCGGCGCUUCCCCCGGCUUUCUCGUCAGAUCUUGGUCGCUUCCCGCCGCCGCCGCCGCCACGGCCGGUGCCUCUGCCGCAACAAAGGUGCACACAAAAAAACAAAAACAAAUGUGACUCGCCUAUACGAGCAUUCUUGUGGGUAUUUGCCAAAUCAGAGUACACCUUUCUCCAGUUUGGCCUUGCAAAAUGUGUCCGGAUCUGUGAAACAGCGGUCAGGAAAGGAAGCAACCAUGGCGUAUCGAAUCUUAUUGCAGGUAACAGAGGGAGUGAGAAGGGAGGGAGAAAAACCUUGCUGCCGGAGACGAUAUCCACACCAUUUUUUGCGUGUUGGAGCGAUUGAACCAUGGCAAUCAGAGCUGACCUCGCAUCUCCUUCCUCGUACACACUGGUUAGGUAGUUGUGCAUCUCUAUUGCAUUCUGUACAGCAAGAGAUUAAGUUAAAAACUGGACUAUGUGGGACGUUGCUGUUUACUGAAGCAGUUACGGUUGAGCAGUACAUCGCUAUCACAUUCAGCAACUUCAUUCAUGACACCUUUGAACCAUUCAAAGGAGCCUUGUUCCCUGGUAACCCAAUAGAAGUAAGCUCGGCUUGGCCCGUUGCUCUUGAAGCUGCUGCCUGCCUCCUCGUCAUUCAUGCUUUGCUGCUCCUGUUGAAUCCAAUUCAUUUUAGGCUUUUGUGCAUCUGCACUCAUGUAUGAGGAAUAACAUUUAGUGACUGAGUUACAUUAUUAGACUUUAUGUUGUGCAGGAGAUCCUUCAGUAUGCUGAUGAAAGGAGUUGCACCGAUUCCAAGGCCAAUAAGAAAAAGGAUGUCGUAUUUCUUGUAAUUUUGAGCUGGUGCGCCGAAAGGGCCAUCAACAAAGAUCUUGGGAAAUCUAAAUAAAGAAAGCCAAGUCACCAAAGUUAGUGCAAUAUCGCCUAAUAUACAUAUCCUCAAGCAAUUCCUUAAGUAAGCUUAAGGUAUAAUCACCUAGUAUUAUCUUCCGCGCCUUCUGCUAUGACUGUGGUCUCAAGUCUUGAUAGUGUAGCCUUCUUGGAAUUUACUUCUUCUUCACAGGCCUGCAUGAAUUAUUAUACUUUUUCAUCAGUUAACUAAAAUAUAGAGUGUAAGCUCCUCACAAGUUGUACUUCUUCUAUGCUCCCUCCUCACUUUUUCUACUGACCUUCCCAAAUAGGUUCCUUAGUUCUGUCGUCCAGUCACCUAAUGUGCGGAUAUGUACACUCAAGUAGUCGUCCCCAGGUGCAGAGGUGAUGGAGAAGGGAUGCCUGCAAACAUUGAAGAAAAUUUUGAAGCCAAAGCCUUGGAAAACUCGUUACUUGGAAAAUAUGGAUGAUGGGAUGGUACCAUUCAAAAGGCGAAACGUCUGGGCAUUUUACAAAGAGGUACAUCCCACUUUUGUAUUUGAAACUUGAUGGCUUCUUCAUGUAAAGAGAGAGAACAUUUCCUGGGUAAAUUGCUGCCUGCAUGACACAUAGAACCAUAAUUACCAGCUCUCUUGUGUACCUGCACUUUACAAUGUAUACUGAGGAAACUUAUAUGUGGUAUUCUUGUAGAAUCUAUAGCUUACCUUGAUGACAGUCACUCCAUAAUUCUUCUCACGAACUCUU